AACGAACGCUGGCGGCAUGCCUAACACAUGCAAGUCGAACGAGACCUUCGGGUCUAGUGGCGCACGGGUGCGUAACGCGUGGGAACCUGCCCUUAGGUUCGGCAUAACUCCCCGAAAGGGGUGCUAAUACCGGAUAAUGUCUUCGGACCAAAGAUUUAUCGCCUUUGGAUGGGCCCGCGUUGGAUUAGCUAGUUGGUAGGGUAAAAGCCUACCACGGCGACAAUCCAUAGCUGGUCUGAGAGGAUGAUCAGCCACACUGGGACUGAGACACGGCCCAGACUCCUACGGGAGGCAGCAGUGGGGAAUAUUGCACAAUGGGCGAAAGCAUGAUCCAGCAAGGCCGCGUGAGUGAUGAAGGCCGUAGGGUUGUAAAGCUCUUUUAACCGGGAUGAUAAUGACAGUACCGGGAGAAUAAGCUCCGGCUAACUCCGUG
RNAcentral lists this ribosomal RNA (433 nucleotides) under uncultured bacterium. RNAcentral describes it as "partial 16S ribosomal RNA". It matches the Rfam family "Bacterial small subunit ribosomal RNA", at positions 29 to 507 of the family's 1533-position model. The record is from RNAcentral.